GAGCCCCCACGGCGCAAUGAAGGUGAAGCGNNNNNCCGGCCCAGGUGGGACUCUGGCGGGGGGCGCACCACCGCCCGUCUGCCGCAGCGUCGGGGAGUGGAGCAAGAGCGCGUGCGAUGUACCCGAAAGAUGUGAACUAUGCCUGGGCAGGCGAAGCCAGAGGAAACUCUGGUGGAGGUCCGCAGCGGUCCUGACGUGCAAACUUGUCCACCUGGUAUAGGGCGAAAGACUAAUCGAACCAUCUAGUAGCUGGUU
This 255-nucleotide ribosomal RNA is filed under the name Hypentelium nigricans (northern hog sucker). RNAcentral describes it as "partial 28S ribosomal RNA". It matches the Rfam family "Eukaryotic large subunit ribosomal RNA", at positions 703 to 956 of the family's 3401-position model. The record is from RNAcentral. Lineage: Eukaryota; Metazoa; Chordata; Actinopteri; Cypriniformes; Catostomidae.